UGCUCGCCCGGGUGGAGUUCCCCGGUCGGCGUCUGGUGCGCGCCCUGGUCACCGUGCCACUGGUGCUUCCGCCGGUGGUGGGCGGC
Molecule: transfer RNA, 86 nt
Filed under: Salinispora arenicola
Lineage: Bacteria; Bacillati; Actinomycetota; Actinomycetes; Micromonosporales; Micromonosporaceae
Description: tRNA-Thr
Source: RNAcentral